Molecule: ribosomal RNA, 253 nt
Filed under: uncultured bacterium
Lineage: Bacteria
Description: partial 16S ribosomal RNA
Rfam family: Bacterial small subunit ribosomal RNA
Source: RNAcentral
UACGGAGGGGACUAGCGUUGUUCGGAAUUACUGGGCGUAAAGCGCACGUAGGCGGAUUUGUAAGUCAGGGGUGAAAUCCCGGGGCUCAACCUCGGAACUGCCUUUGAUACUGCAAAUCUCGAGUCCGGAAGAGGUGAGUGGAAUUCCCGGUGUAGCGGUGAAAUGCGCAGAUAUCGGGAAGAACACCCGUGGCUAAGGCGGCUCUCUAGUACGGUACUGACGCUGAGACGCGAAAGCGUGGGGAGCGAACAGG